UAGGGAAUCUUCCACAAUGGACGCAAGUCUGAUGGAGCAACGCCGCGUGAGUGAAGAAGGUUUUCGGACCGUAAAGCUCUGUUGUUGGUGAAGAAGGAUAGAGGUAGUAACUGGCCUUUAUUUGACGGUAAUCAACCAGAAAGUCACGGCUAACUACGUGCCAGCAGCCGCGGUAAUACGUAGGUGGCAAGCGUUGUCCGGAUUUAUUGGGCGUAAAGCGAGCGCAGGCGGAAGAAUAAGUCUGAUGUGAAAGCCCUCGGCUUAACCGAGGAAUUGCAUCGGAAACUGUUUUCUUGAGUGCAGAAGAGGAGAGUAGAACUCCAUGUGUAGCGGUGGAAUGCGUAGAUAUAUGGAAGAAUACCAGUGGCGAAGGCGGCUCUCUGGUCUGCAAACUGACGCUGAGGCUCGAAAGCAUGGGUAGCGAACAGGAUUAGAUACCCUGGUAGUCCAUGCCGUAAACGAUGAGUGCUAAGUGUUGGGAGGCUUCCGCCUCUCAGUGCUGCAGCUAACGCAUUAAGCACUCCGCCUGGGGAGUACGACCGCAAGGUUGAAAC
This 554-nucleotide ribosomal RNA is filed under the name uncultured bacterium. RNAcentral describes it as "partial 16S ribosomal RNA". It matches the Rfam family "Bacterial small subunit ribosomal RNA", at positions 355 to 900 of the family's 1533-position model. The record is from RNAcentral.